Molecule: transfer RNA, 73 nt
Filed under: Acetobacter ghanensis
Lineage: Bacteria; Pseudomonadati; Pseudomonadota; Alphaproteobacteria; Acetobacterales; Acetobacteraceae
Description: RNA
Rfam family: tRNA
About the family: Transfer RNA (tRNA) molecules are approximately 80 nucleotides in length. Their secondary structure includes four short double-helical elements and three loops (D, anti-codon, and T loops).
Source: RNAcentral
GCGGGGUGGAGCAGCCCGGUAGCUCGUCAGGCUCAUAACCUGAAGGUCACAGGUUCAAAUCCUGUCCCCCGCA